CAGUCGCCGCGGGAAUACGUAGGUGGCAAGCGUUGUCCGGAAUUAUUGGGCGCAAAGCGCGCGCAGGUGGUUUAAUAAGUCUGAUGUGAAAGCCCACGGCUCAACCGUGGAGGGUCAUUGGAAACUGUUAAACUUGAGUGCAGGAGAGAAAAGUGGAAUUCCUAGUGUAGCGGUGAAAUGCGUAGAGAUUAGGAGGAACACCAGUGGCGAAGGCGGCUUUUUGGCCUGUAACUGACACUGAGGCGCGAAAGCGUGGGGAGCAAACAGGAUUAGAGACCCCCGUAGUCCCUGUCUCUUAUAC
RNAcentral lists this ribosomal RNA (301 nucleotides) under uncultured bacterium. RNAcentral's name for it is "partial 16S ribosomal RNA". It matches the Rfam family "Bacterial small subunit ribosomal RNA", at positions 509 to 807 of the family's 1533-position model. The record is from RNAcentral.